RNAcentral lists this ribosomal RNA (486 nucleotides) under uncultured bacterium. RNAcentral describes it as "bacterial SSU rRNA". It matches the Rfam family "Bacterial small subunit ribosomal RNA", at positions 28 to 507 of the family's 1533-position model. The record is from RNAcentral.
GAUGAACGCUAGCGGCAGGCCUAACACAUGCAAGUCAGGGGUAACAUAGAAAAGCUUGCUUUUCUGAUGACGACCGGCGCACGGGUGCGUAACGCGUAUACAACCUACCUUUUAGCGGGGAAUAGCCCAGGGAAACUUGGAUUAAUGCCCCAUAGUAUAUAGACUUCUCCUGAAGUUUAUAUUAAACAUUUAUGGCUAUUAGAUGGGUAUGCGUCCUAUUAGUUAGUUGGUAAGGUAACGACUUACCAAGGCAGCGAUAGGUAGGGGUCCUGAGAGGGAGAUCCCCACACUGGUACUGAGACACGGACCAGACUCCUACGGGAGGCAGCAGUGAGGAAUAUUGGACAAUGGGCGAGAGCCUGAUCCAGCCAUGCCGCGUGCAGGAAGACUGCCCUAUGGGUUGUAAACUGCUUUUACAGAGGAAGAACCACCCUCACGUGUGGGGGUUUGACGGUACUCUGCGAAUAAGGAUCGGCUAACUCCGUG